Argiope bruennichi is the source of this 568-nucleotide long non-coding RNA. RefSeq lists it as uncharacterized. NCBI's taxonomy places the organism in Eukaryota, Metazoa, Arthropoda, Arachnida, Araneae, Araneidae. The transcript has 3 exons. The record is from RefSeq and is a predicted model, not a curated record.
UUAACAUUCAGAAGGAGUUUUUCCAAGAUUGUUAUGGGCCUCCUAAUUCUACAGCCCAUGAAAGCCCAUUCAAAAAAGGAUGCAAGUUAUUUACUCCUUACAAAUAUUCAUAACUCUGUGGAUGGGAAUUGCUAUGAAAGACGACAAUUAUUCUUGCAUCGAUACAUUCCAAAAGAAUUUUGAUGCCGUAAUUUUGAAAUAAGAAGCCAUAAAUUUCGGAUAUAUUUAUUUGCAUCAAAUCAACUUGGCAAUGUAAAAUGUUUCCGAAUUCGAACUCUUUAAUUCGUUUAAAUAAAAAAGAACCAAGAUGUGAAAACGUGUACUUUGGUUAUAGAGAAACGAAAGUUGACAAGAAAACUUUUUAUCUUUAUGAGGUGAAUAAUUUAUGGACACCAUAUGCUGUGGAAGCCAACUCCAUAAUAAAUAAAUGGUUCAGCAGCAAAUGAAAGAAAUGGAAAAAAAAUCGCUCUAUGAAAGAUCUCAUAAAAGAAUAAAGACGCUUUGAGUUUCACUGGAAAAUUGUUACUGAAAAUAAUGUAAAAUAUGUAUUUAUAAAAUAUUGUCGAAG